This 364-nucleotide ribosomal RNA is filed under the name uncultured Acidobacteriota bacterium. RNAcentral describes it as "bacterial SSU rRNA". It matches the Rfam family "Bacterial small subunit ribosomal RNA", at positions 53 to 432 of the family's 1533-position model. The record is from RNAcentral. Lineage: Bacteria; Pseudomonadati; Acidobacteriota.
ACAUGCAAGUCGCACGAGAAAGGGGAGCAAUCCUCGAGAUGUGGCGUACGGGUGAGUAACACGUGGAUCAUCUACUUAAUAGUGGGGAAUAACCAUGGGAAACCGUGGCUAAUACCGCAUAAGCUCGAGAGAGGAAAGCAGCAAUGCGCUGUUCUGAGGAGUCCGCGGCCGAUUAGCUAGUUGGCAGGGUAAAAGCCUACCAAGGCAGAGAUCGGUAGCCGGCCUGAGAGGGCACACGGCCACACUGGCACUGAAACACGGGCCAGACUCCUACGGGAGGCAGCAGUGGGGAAUCUUGCACAAUGGGGGAAACCCUGAUGCAGCGACGCCGCGUGAGCGAUGAAGCCCUUCGGGGUGUAAAGCU